GUGAAUGAUAAACAUGCUGUGGUGUCUUCGCUUCGCUCGGCAAGGCCCUUGCUUAAAUCACAUCCUAAACACUGUGAACUGUAAGACGUAUGAUGAGGUCUUUGGCCAAGUCAUCGUCUGCCCAUUUUUAACAAACAAUUAAUGUAACAAACGUAGUCUUAUUAUAACCUAAUA
RNAcentral lists this unclassified non-coding RNA (174 nucleotides) under soil metagenome. Its description in RNAcentral is "partial internal transcribed spacer 1". The record is from RNAcentral.